Molecule: transfer RNA, 65 nt
Filed under: Tarnania fenestralis
Lineage: Eukaryota; Metazoa; Arthropoda; Insecta; Diptera; Mycetophilidae
Description: tRNA-Glu
Source: RNAcentral
AUUUAUAUAGUUUAAUAAAAACCUUACACUUUCACUGUAAAAAUAAAAUUAUGUUUUUAUAAAUA